Molecule: long non-coding RNA, 258 nt
Organism: Uranotaenia lowii
Lineage: Eukaryota; Metazoa; Arthropoda; Insecta; Diptera; Culicidae
Exons: 3
Source: RefSeq, a predicted model, not a curated record
GUUGAAUAAUGUGGAAAAGUUGAAAAAGGAUUGCGAAGCUCUGGAGGAUUUGUUUUGCAGGAAAUUUUGCCCGUAGUCUUGAGUGAAGAAAAUAUUCGAAGUAAUCAAAACAAACUAAUGUGAAGGAAUUAACGGAGGAACGUAAAUAUAAGUGAUCCGGCUACCGUCCGAUGAUGAAGCCGAUGCAUCGCGAUGAGAGUUCAAUAUUCUUUAGGAAAAGUAGCUGAAUUUCGGGAAUUUCGAGAAAGAAAUUUGAGA